RNAcentral lists this small RNA (581 nucleotides) under chicken gut metagenome. The record is from RNAcentral.
AAUAUAUAUCAGUGGUGCAUUAUUCUAGUCAUACAAACUUUACGAGGGUGGGGCUAAAAAUCCACUAAAGAGCACAUCGUUGAAGUUUCUUAGUAUUGCGCGAAAUGCCAGUUUUGUGUGGUGCUAGGGAGUAAAGAAAUUAGGGUAUUAUAUAAUGGCAUAUAUAAAACCCCCUGGUUUCGCGGAGGCUUAAGUGAUUUACUUAAGUAUAACCUAUGGUGAGUGCCAAGACACAAAAUACAUAGUGUAGCUUGUCUUGAGUGAAUAUAUUGGGAUUAAUACAAAAGGAAUGAAUUUGUUUGGCCAAAUAAAUUUAUUUUAUAUUAUGAAAUUAUAUUUGCAAAAGAGACUAGUAAAGAGAAUUUGUAUGUUAAGGAAAACUUCUAGAAUGUUUGCUUUUAAAAGAAGCAAGGAAGCCAAAGGAUUAAGGUACAGAUUUAAGUGGUGAUCUGGUGUCUAUUGAAAUAUAUAGAUGUUCUUCUUAAACGGAAACGGCUCUAGCAGUAAUGCUAAGUGAGGGAUAGAGAAAUUCGACCAGACCUAAACUGUAAAAUUUACUUUGGUUUUUACCAUUAAAAACA